GUGGGGAAUAUUGGACAAUGGGCGAAAGCCUGAUCCAGCCAUGCCGCGUGUGUGAAGAAGGUCUUCGGAUUGUAAAGCACUUUAAGUUGGGAGGAAGGGCAGUAAGUUAAUACCUUGCUGUUUUGACGUUACCGACAGAAUAAGCACCGGCUAACUCUGUGCCAGCAGCCGCGGUAAUACAGAGGGUGCAAGCGUUAAUCGGAAUUACUGGGCGUAAAGCGCGCGUAGGUGGUUCGUUAAGUUGGAUGUGAAAGCCCCGGGCUCAACCUGGGAACUGCAUCCAAAACUGGCGAGCUAGAGUACGGUAGAGGGUGGUGGAAUUUCCUGUGUAGCGGUGAAAUGCGUAGAUAUAGGAAGGAACACCAGUGGCGAAGGCGACCACCUGGACUGAUACUGACACUGAGGUGCGAAAGCGUGGGGAGCAAACAGGAUUAGAUACCCGAGUAGUCC
This 450-nucleotide ribosomal RNA is filed under the name uncultured bacterium. RNAcentral describes it as "bacterial SSU rRNA". It matches the Rfam family "Bacterial small subunit ribosomal RNA", at positions 354 to 796 of the family's 1533-position model. The record is from RNAcentral.